GAUAAUUACCUGUGACACCCAUUGUACACUGUGAGCAGGUAUACAGGCCCACAGAGCAUGCAGAUAAUUAUCUGUGACACCCAUUGUACACUGUGAACAGGUAUACAGGCCCACAGAGCA
Long non-coding RNA from Brienomyrus brachyistius, 120 nucleotides. RefSeq lists it as uncharacterized. Lineage: Eukaryota; Metazoa; Chordata; Actinopteri; Osteoglossiformes; Mormyridae. The record is from RefSeq and is a predicted model, not a curated record. The transcript is spliced from 2 exons.